GAUGAACGCUGGCGGCGUGCCUAAUACAUGCAAGUCGAACGCUUCACUUCGGUGAAGAGUGGCGAACGGGUGAGUAAUACAUAAGUAACCUGGCAUCUACAGGGGGAUAACUGAUGGAAACGUCAGCUAAGACCGCAUAGGUGUAGAGAUCGCAUGAACUCUAUAUGAAAAGUGCUACGGGACUGGUAGAUGAUGGACUUAUGGCGCAUUAGCUUGUUGGUAGGGUAACGGCCUACCAAGGCGACGAUGCGUAGCCGACCUGAGAGGGUGACCGGCCACACUGGGACUGAGACACGGCCCAGACUCCUACGGGAGGCAGCAGUAGGGAAUUUUCGGCAAUGGGGGAAACCCUGACCGAGCAACGCCGCGUGAAGGAAGAAGUAAUUCGUUAUGUAAACUUCUGUCAUAGAGGAAGAACGGUGGAUAUAGGGAAUGAUAUCCAAGUGACGGUACUCUA
This 457-nucleotide ribosomal RNA is filed under the name uncultured bacterium. Its description in RNAcentral is "bacterial SSU rRNA". It matches the Rfam family "Bacterial small subunit ribosomal RNA", at positions 28 to 482 of the family's 1533-position model. The record is from RNAcentral.